CGCAAUUACAGAGUCCUACGUGUAUGUUGC
Molecule: non-coding RNA, 30 nt
Filed under: Mus musculus (house mouse)
Lineage: Eukaryota; Metazoa; Chordata; Mammalia; Rodentia; Muridae
Source: RNAcentral